AGUGAACGCUGGCGGUAGGCCUAACACAUGCAAGUCGAACGGCAGCACAGUAAGAGCUUGCUCUUACGGGUGGCGAGUGGCGGACGGGUGAGGAAUACAUCGGAAUCUACUUUUUCGUGGGGGAUAACGUAGGGAAACUUACGCUAAUACCGCAUACGACCUACGGGUGAAAGCAGGGGAUCUUCGGACCUUACGCGAUUGAAUGAGCCGAUGUCGGAUUAGCUAGUUGGCGGGGUAAAGGCCCACCAAGGCGACGAUCCGUAGCUGGUCUGAGAGGAUGAUCAGCCACACUGGAACUGAGACACGGUCCAGACUCCUACGGGAGGCAGCAGUGGGGAAUAUUGGACAAUGGGCGCAAGCAUGAUCCAGCCAUACCGCGUGGGUGAAGAAAGCCUUCGGGUUGUAAAGCCCUUUUGUUGGGAAAGAAAAGCAGCAGGUUAAUACCCCGCUGUUCUGACGGUACCCAAAGAAUAAGCACCGGCUAACUUCGUG
This 492-nucleotide ribosomal RNA is filed under the name uncultured bacterium. Its description in RNAcentral is "partial 16S ribosomal RNA". It matches the Rfam family "Bacterial small subunit ribosomal RNA", at positions 29 to 507 of the family's 1533-position model. The record is from RNAcentral.